AGAGUUUGAUCAUGGCUCAGAAUCAACGCUGGCGGCGUGCCUAACACAUGCAAGUCGAACGAGAAAGUGGAGCAAUCCAUGAGUAAAGUGGCGACCGGGUGAGUAACACGUGACUAACCUACCCUGAAGUGGGGAAUAACCUCGGGAAACCGGGGCUAAUACCGCAUAACAUCGCGAGGGGAAGAUCCUUGCGAUCAAAGGAGCAAUUCGCUUUAGGAGGGGGUCGCGGCUGAUUAGUUAGUUGGUGAGGUAACGGCUCACCAAGACAAAGAUCAGUAUCCGGCCUGAGAGGGCGCACGGACACACUGGAACUGAAACACGGUCCAGACUCCUACGGGAGGCAGCAGUGGGGAAUUUUGCGCAAUGGGGGAAACCCUGACGCAGCAACGCCGCGUGGAGGAUGAAGUCCCUUGGGAUGUAAACUCCUUUCGAUCGGGACGAUUAUGACGGUACCGGAAGAAGAAGCACCGGCUAACUCUGUGCCAGCCGCCGCGGUAAUAC
This 501-nucleotide ribosomal RNA is filed under the name uncultured bacterium. RNAcentral describes it as "bacterial SSU rRNA". It matches the Rfam family "Bacterial small subunit ribosomal RNA", at positions 8 to 526 of the family's 1533-position model. The record is from RNAcentral.